UUGGUUUUGACCCGUUCUCUUCCUUUCCUUGGCGGCAGGUGCGGCAGAGCCACCCACAACCAUGGGCGGGGGAGACUGCUCGCAGAUGCGGCGGCGCUCCCAUUUAGGCGCGGCGGCGAGAAGAAUCAAGAAGCAGAUCCCUGUCCACCGCUUGGAGUCGCGCGUCACCACCUGGAUUCGCUCUCUGCUGCCUGGAGUCGCCUCCCGUCGCUGGCAGAGAAACUCUCUCCAACCUUCUCAAUGUUUGCAGUCUGCACUCCUCUCAUCCUCCAGUCCUCGACCUGUGCUUGUUGCUGGUGCCUUGCUGCUGCCUGUCACGGAAUCGUUUGAUUUAUUUGGGACCGAAUCUUGAAGGAUUCUAGGAUUUGUGGUGCAUAUGCGGAUGGCGGGGCACCGGCGCAGCAGAGAGGAGGCUUGACGAGCCCAAGCUUCUCGACGGUGUCUCCCGCGCGGCCACGCUCCCCAAGAUUGCUAAGUAUGGUGCUCACACCACCUCUUCACACUGCCUUUUCUCCAUUGAUGCCGUCUUUUCAUCCUUUCCUUGCAAGUUGGAGCAGCAAGCUUAGUUCUUGGGGAGGACUACCGGAUUUUGGCAACGGUGGCGUCGGAUUUUCUCAUCGGUCGUCUUUCCCCUUUGUUGGCCCACCGGCUGUCACCUAUGCAAGGUUUUCCGCCGCUAACGUCAAACACCAAUCUCGAUGCCAACCCGCCGCGCGCUGAGUUCCCCAAAAAACCGCCUGAGGAUCUUUAUGGUGCCGGCAUCUCUCUCUUUCUUUGAUUCAUUUGGCCUUCUCCUUCUUCCCUCCUGCCAAGUCCAGUCAAAUACGACCUUGAUUUUCCUGAAACGAGUCCCUCUAUCCAGAAAUCCUCCGUCAAUUUCUCCCCUCCUUCCUCAAAUUCCAUCUACUUCUUAAAGGCAUGUGGUGGCUGAGGAGGCAUGGAAAAUCUGUACAUGAAAGGAUGGCCUGAUAUUUGGGGGGCAUACUACCAGUAAUCGAAAGAGCAAAGUAUGGAAAAUCUAAAAGUUUGUUGCCUUUUUGUGUUCCUUCUGCCGUUGUUCAAGAAAAUCGUUGCAUCGUCAAGUUAUGGAGAUCUACGACAAUGAUAAAAUGCCCUUCAAGUGAGAUGCAUUAGAUAUACAUAAACUUAGUUCUCAUAUUUGAUGUGCCCCAUUCCACUAUAGAAUCCCUUGUACUUGGUGCAGGUGGUUUUGCUUUGAAGGAAAGGAUUAUGCAUUAUUCCGUGGAUUCAAAGGAAAUAGAGUGAUUGUCAGUAGACAUGGUGUUUUGGUUCA
This is a long non-coding RNA of Lolium perenne, 1294 nucleotides long. RefSeq lists it as uncharacterized. Lineage: Eukaryota; Viridiplantae; Streptophyta; Magnoliopsida; Poales; Poaceae. The record is from RefSeq and is a predicted model, not a curated record.